This is a long non-coding RNA of Prionailurus viverrinus (fishing cat), 733 nucleotides long. RefSeq lists it as uncharacterized. The transcript has 4 exons. The record is from RefSeq and is a predicted model, not a curated record. Lineage: Eukaryota; Metazoa; Chordata; Mammalia; Carnivora; Felidae.
UUGGCAUGUGUGGGACCAAGUUAGAGGGACCCUAGAACCUCCCAUCCUGGUCAUGUCUGGAUCCCCCCAAAGUUGAGGAGUAUGGUGAGAGUGUGGGGGGUCUCCACCCCCCUCCCCAAUGCGAGCAGCCCGCUUUUUGUGUUGGGCGUCCCAGGACAGACAGACAGACGUGGAGAGAAUGGAACUUUCUGGUGGCUUGUCCAGUCAAGAGUAAAACAAAACAAAAGCAGCCCCCCACUACUGUCCGAAAUUGCUCUGCGGGUCUGGGGGAGAGAGUGGCCAGAGGAGCAGGGAGAGGUGGGGAUGAGCCCAGUGCCCGGUUGUGGCUGUUGGGCAACAUCUCUCACGCAGGAGUCUACUUGCCCUACAAGGAAGCCUUCUGGGGGGAGAGGGAAGGUCUUCUCUUCCUCCCGCCCACGGCACCUGCACCCGCCCUGCAGUUCUGUGACACAUGCUUUCCUAGCAAUUACCUUCACCAGGACCACAUCCGAAGCCAGACCCACUGAUGAAUGGACCUCUCUGAAUCUGCAUGACCAUCACGGACCCUGCCUGGGGGGAGGGGGUGAUACUCACCGCGCUGCCAUCAGGGUGGCUCGGGUCGUGUGCCCAUCCGGGAGCACAGCCAGGUCGGGAAGCGGGCUGCAAACCAGGCACUCGACCCGGUCGACCAGGCAGGGGGGAGAUGUCAGCCCCUCGAUUUUCCAGACCAGAACCGAGGCUCAGAGAGGAGUGG